UUUUUCAAAACAGUUACAGACUCGUCGGAAAGAUUGAUCAUUCUGAUCCCUUUGUAUUGACCGGAAUAUACUAAGUUUUUUUUCUCUCAGUGCUAUGCCAUUAAUACACGAAUUGACUGAAAUUGUUUUCGUGAUUUGUUUUCUUUCCACGUUUAUAAUAGUAAUACACUGCUUCUUUAAACCACCAGAUGAUACCGCUAAUAUAUGGCCCUUACUUAUAUACAGUAUAUCUUGUACGUUAUACGGCAUCUUCACCUCAAAGUUUCUUAAUUCGGUAUCACUGAAUACUCUAACUGCACGAUCACAAUAGUAAGUAAAAGCCAUUCUACCAUCUGGUAUUAUACAACAUCCGUAGAUGAACGUUCCUUGAGUUGCUAUUGUCUUGUGCAUCUCCAGUGUUAUAUUUUCAAUGGAUUUUGUUUGAACGGUUUGAACUUUUUCGUGCUAAGAACGAUGUCACAUGAUUUAGUUUCAAUCUGUACUUCUCCAAAACUUUUGAUAUUGGACAUUAUAUCUUGAAUAGCAAUGUUGGUUCUAUAUUCUAGAUGCCAUUGCUUCAAUUGCUCGUCUUCCACUACGGAUUGCAGAAAUUUAUCAUUUAUAUUAAUGUCUUGUUCGAUUUGCUUAAGCGAGAGAAAAAUCUGAAGGUCUGAGGCGUGUUGUUUAAUGCUGACAAUGUUUUGCUGGUAUUUGGUUAUUUCUACUUCUCUCUGUUCUAGUGAUGACAAUAACUGACCAAUUUGUGAGUUCUCUGUUUCUUCAACAGCAUUAAGUUUUUUUUAUCAAAUCUUCUUGUAAUUUGUCUAGAUGGUGGUUGAUUGUUGUUCGGGUCUUUUGAAUAUCAUUUCCGAUUUGUUUUCUUUUUUCUUUCAAAUUCAACAGAUUUUUCUGCUGAUAUUGAAAUUUUCUGCUAAUUCAAUCAAAGUUCCUUCAAUUUCGGAGAAGGCAUUUGAUGUUUUUACAUUUUGAAUGACGUCUUCAUAUUUGUCGAUAUGCCG
This 998-nucleotide long non-coding RNA is filed under the name Mytilus galloprovincialis (Mediterranean mussel). The record is from RNAcentral. Lineage: Eukaryota; Metazoa; Mollusca; Bivalvia; Mytilida; Mytilidae.